Long non-coding RNA from Acipenser ruthenus (sterlet), 1197 nucleotides. RefSeq lists it as uncharacterized. The record is from RefSeq and is a predicted model, not a curated record. Lineage: Eukaryota; Metazoa; Chordata; Actinopteri; Acipenseriformes; Acipenseridae. The transcript has 2 exons.
UCAGGUUCCUUUCUAAAUGCAGCUUACAGUUUAAUUAAUAAUUGCAGUUUCCACUGUGGUCUCGACAGUUCGUGAGUUGCAUAGACAUAUUCACCUGAUCAAAACUGAAUCUUGGUUGCACUUCUGAGAUGUAAGAGACUAACCAUGACCAAAACAGAGUGAUGACGCAAUAAAGGCGUGCACUGUCUAGGGGGUGGGACACUGGUUUCAUGACAUCACUGCUAUAGAAACACAUUCUUCACAGUUUCAGCUGCAGAUUGAAGCAGACGCUGGAGGGAGGUUUGUCGUUUGAAAGUUUUGACAAUGGAACAGGAAUGCGCUGUUUUUACUUUGAUACUUCUCUGUUUAAUCAUAGAAAUGAUCCAGGGAGAUAAAGUGACUCACCCUUCAAAUUCAACUCUCGUUAAAGAAACAGAGAACACCACUAUACACUGUAAAUAUGAUUUAACAUCAGGCUUUACUCCAAAUCUCUUCUGGUACAUUCAGGACCCCAAUCAAGCCCCACAGCUCAUACUCAGUGGAUAUUCUAAGCAGGAGGACAUUCCACCAAGGUUUCGAAAUCGUUUCUCUGCAUCUCAUAACAACACAGAGAAGACCUUUCAUCUGAAUAUCACUGCGGCUGUGCUGUCUGACUCUGCCACGUACUUCUGUGCUCUGAGGCCCACACUGUGAGAGUCUCUAUAUCACUUCAUACAAAAACCUCCUGCUGCCUGCCGAGUGAGUCUCGCUGGUGAAGAUGGCAGUGGAGCCUGUGUUCUGUGUAGAAGCUACUCAGAGACAUUCUUCUUAAUUACCCUCCUAGCAUGUUCAGAAUGUAGGUACAGCUGGUAUGUUUCGGGUCAUAUUGACCCACUGCAAUUUCAAAUCAACGUGUUCAUUAGAUAGCUUUUACUCUUUAAUGUUAAAUAUUUUAAAUGAAUGCAAACUCUUAUAAUAAAUUCAAAUAAAUAUAGAUUGCAUCAUAACUUUAUAUAACCAUGUUUAUUACACAGAAACCAAAAUUGUAUUGAACCUUAAUAUUUGGAGAAGGGAAUGAAUGAAGCUUGAGCAUAAUGAAGAAUUUCAAGUAUGUAACAAAGAAAAAACACCUUUUCAUGAAGUACUAAUUAUAACUAUGGUGCAUUCAUUGUAAAUAGCAUUUCCUUAUGAAUGUCCCAACAAAUGUGGGUACAUAGAAACAUGAUUGACUCUCCACUA